This 301-nucleotide ribosomal RNA is filed under the name uncultured bacterium. Its description in RNAcentral is "partial 16S ribosomal RNA". It matches the Rfam family "Bacterial small subunit ribosomal RNA", at positions 509 to 808 of the family's 1533-position model. The record is from RNAcentral.
CAGCCGCCGCGGUAAGACGAACCGUGCAAACGUUACUCGGAAUCACUGGGCUUAAAGCGCACGUAGGCGGCGACAUAAGUUAGAGGUGAAAUCCCAUCGGCUCAACCGUGGAACUGCCUCUAAUACUGUGUUGCUUGAGGGAGAACGGGGCAUUCGGAACUUCCGGUGGAGCGGUGAAAUGUGUUGAUAUCGGAAGGAACGCCGGUGGCGAAAGCGGAAUGCUGGGUCUCUUCUGACGCUGAGGUGCGAAAGCUAGGGUAGCGAACGGGAUUAGAUACCCGAGUAGUCCCUGUCUCUUAUA